Molecule: ribosomal RNA, 434 nt
Filed under: uncultured Enterobacter sp.
Lineage: Bacteria; Pseudomonadati; Pseudomonadota; Gammaproteobacteria; Enterobacterales; Enterobacteriaceae
Description: bacterial SSU rRNA
Rfam family: Bacterial small subunit ribosomal RNA
Source: RNAcentral
AACGCGAAGAACCUUACCUACUCUUGACAUCCAGAGAACUUUCCAGAGAUGGAUUGGUGCCUUCGGGAACUCUGAGACAGGUGCUGCAUGGCUGUCGUCAGCUCGUGUUGUGAAAUGUUGGGUUAAGUCCCGCAACGAGCGCAACCCUUAUCCUUUGUUGCCAGCGGUUCGGCCGGGAACUCAAAGGAGACUGCCAGUGAUAAACUGGAGGAAGGUGGGGAUGACGUCAAGUCAUCAUGGCCCUUACGACCAGGGCUACACACGUGCUACAAUGGCGCAUACAAAGAGAAGCGACCUCGCGAGAGCAAGCGGACCUCAUAAAGUGCGUCGUAGUCCGGAUUGGAGUCUGCAACUCGACUCCAUGAAGUCGGAAUCGCUAGUAAUCGUAGAUCAGAAUGCUACGGUGAAUACGUUCCCGGGUCUUGUACACACCG